This 4040-nucleotide long non-coding RNA is filed under the name Mus musculus (house mouse). RNAcentral describes it as "long non-coding RNA chr14:69586041-69590081". The record is from RNAcentral. Lineage: Eukaryota; Metazoa; Chordata; Mammalia; Rodentia; Muridae.
GCUAGGGUUCCCAGGGCCACACCGCCGGCGAUUAUCCGAUAGCUCCUGGAGCAAGACCUAAUAACCACUGCAGAUCUUAGCCUUUGAGCUAAGAACAUUAUUUUCAACUUCUGAAAGGAUUGCUUUAGCAGGACUUGGCAUGCACACUGUUAAUCCCUUGUGAGGCAGGGACAGGCAGAUAGACCUCUGUGAGUUUAAAGGCCAGCCUGAUCUACAUAGGAAAUUUCCAGCUACUACCAUCUCAAGAAAAAAAAAAAAAAAAGUAAUCCCAGCAUGGGGAGGCUGAGGCAAAAGCAUAAAGAUUUCAAGGCAGGUUGCAAUCUAAUUCCUACCAAGAAAAACAAAAAACAGAGACUUCCUGGCCUUAUAAGAUCUGAAAUAUUUACAAAUGUCCCUUUAUAGAAAAAUUUGCUGGCUGUUGUUGUAUUGGCUUCCUGUUACUACAACAAAUUCUGAGAUAAUCAGCUUACAAAGAGAAAAGGUUACCUUUAUCACGGUUUCAGAGGUGUCCUUCAGAGGUGUUUUUGGGCCCUGUUUAGGUCCAGUGCUGAGACAGCACAGUAUGGCAAGAACCAGGGCGAGCACAGAACCACUGCUUCUCAGCCAAGAGCAAGGGGUGGGGGCACACUCCCCUUCAAGGGCACACCCUAGUGACCUGAGAACAUCCUGCUUAAGCCCCAUCUCACAGUUCCUCUGCCUCCCCUAACACAGAGUCAGGGGCCUCGUCUCUAACACAGAAGCCCACGGGGACAUUGCCGGUUCAAACUCUGCCUGUGAGAACGAGCUGCUGCUACAAGGGAAACAAGCUGCUGUCCCGAGCUGCUGUUCAGUACCCAGAUGGGAAGUAACCACACAUCAGUCUUGAAACAUCUUGAUAGAAAAAGGAAAACCUAGAGCCACACCCUUCGGGCUGUGCACAUUUCAUACCUAAACCUCUGGCUUUAGCUGAGCUCCCACCUCAGGCAUAGGUGAUGGAGAAGCUGGCAGCUUAAGGCCAGUGUCAUUGGUCUCCGCUUGACCACCUUAAGGUAGGUCACUGUCCAUUGUUACCGACCCCACGCACUGCAGUGUAACCAGCCUUAAGCAGACACUCAUUUUAACUCAGGUCUACAUGGAAUAGUGUUCCUUAUGAGAAGCACGUGUCAGUAAGACACUAAAAAGGCAAAUGUGUUUUCUGAGCUUUAAAAAGCACACCAUCUCCACUCGGGAGUCGUGUGUGAUAGAUAACGUGCAAUGCAGCAAAACUGCCUCUACUUAAAGCAUUUCACAUACUUCAGUGCUCCGUUUUUCUCCAGUGUUGAGUUUCCCUCUAGGUCGGUGGUUCUCAACCUUCCUGAUGCUGCGACCCUUGAUACAGUUCCUCAUGUGGUGAACCCCACCCCCAACCAGAAAAGUCAUUUUUGUUAUGGUUUCAUAACUGUAAUUUUGCUACUGUUAUGUGCCAUAAUGUAAAUAUCUGAUAUGGAUAUAGUCUUAGGCGACCCCUAUGGAAAGGUCAUUCACCCCUCCAAGGGGGUCGGGACCACAGGUUGAGAAACACAGCUCUGCGUGAUACGCAGUGUGAACAGCCUGGGAGAAUGCUGUGUGCCUGAGAUGUUUUACAGUUAGGGAUUACAAAUCUAAGGGAGUACCUUUAAAUUUUGUUUGUUUGUUUGUUUGUUUUUAAGUGAUAGAUGUCUUUUAAACUAAGUAAUGUUUUGGGAAGCACCCGUGUGUCUACUUUCCAGGUUAGGCAGGCUGCUGUCACACAUUUAGGCAUGGAUGGAUGCUGAAAAUAACUGUCAUCCAGGGAACCAGAGCCCCUGUGUGCUUUUCUCCUUGCGAUUUAAAUAGACUCCGCUGCGAAUUCUGAAUCUUGUUAGAAUGACUGGCUGAAUUCGAGUCUAAAUUCAGCAAACUAAGCUGCGUCUACACGCUUUGGUUUUGUUAUGUUGAGCUUGCAGCAAGAAAAGACUGAGGGCUGUGGGCACCAAGUCCGACCGAUAGCACAGAAACCAGGAGCUUCCCUGGGAACAGGACUUAACCAGCUCGCACUGUUAGGCCUCUAGGGGCCUAACCGAGGCAGCUGCUUAUAAGGUCACUGUGGUCUGGAGGGGGCUCAAGGGGUGAAGCUCUUGCCGUGCAGGCGCGAGGAGCUGAGUUUGAAACCCAGAACCCAUGUGAAAAGCCACCCGCUGUGGCACAUGCUUGUACUCCUAGCACAGCCUGCAGAGACAGGGGGAUCCCUGGGCCAGCCAGCCGAGAUUCCACCUCAAAAACCAAGCUAGACAGCAUCUGAGGAACUACAUGGGAGUUGAUCCCUGCCCUUCCCACACAUGGCCACAUGUGUGCAUUCACACACAAAAGUAAGGUUUUCAUUUUGAAGUACCUAUUUACAUAUAGAUAAAGAAAUGACUGGGGGCUUGAGAGAUGACUCAGUAGUUAAGAGUGUUAGCUGCUUUUGCAAAGCAUUUUGAGUUCACUUCCCAGCACCCACAAUUGUCUAUAACUCCAGGCAAUCUCAUGCCCUCCUAUGACCUUCAUGGGCACUGCACAUGUGUGACAAUGUGGCACGCACACACACACGUAGACAAAAAGUUCUUAAUUUUAAAAAGAUUUAUUUUAUAUAUGUGAGUAUACAGUCACUGUCUUCAAACACACCAGAAGACACAUCAAAUCCCAUUACAGAUAGUUUUGAACUAACAUGUGGUUGCUGGGAAUUGAACUCAGGAUCUCUGGAAGAGCAGUCAGUGCUCUUAACUGCUGAGCCAUCUUUCCAGCCUCCAUAGGUUUUUGUUUUUUUUUAAUAAUUGUAUUGUCAAUGAAAAUCAAAAUGAAAUAGCAUUGGUUUGAGCACUUAACAUGGCAUUGGGAGGCCAUGGUUCACCAGAUCUUAGCCACUUGAGAGUGAACCUUUGAACUGAGCAACAGUUAUCUGAAACAUGGUUAACUUGGGCUGGCCAAUACAACAGACUUCUUCCACCAAACUGCAUGGACACCAAGUUAGCCCCCAAAACCUUUUCUGCAAGACAGCUUGGCUUUUUCCAGAAUCAAUCAUAAUUUUUAACAAGUAGUGUGGUUUCCAGUUUUCCUGUCAGCAAAGCUAUCCAUACAGCCACCAUUUUGGAAAGUCUCAGAUCCAGUUUUCAAGACUGUCUUUCAGGUUGCAAGCCUGACUAGCCUCAAAUUAAUUUUUUAAUUUGUUCUUGACUGGGUUGAUUUUGUUCUCGGUCACUCUCCAUAGAUAGUAACAGUAAAUACCUUUCUGGCUCCUUGUUUGGAGCCAACUUUCACCAUAUUCUUUCUAAGAAAUUCCCAGUGGGCUCUUGCUGUUCCCUUGGGUUUUCCAGUGGCAAUAUGAAUUCCACCUUAAUCCAGUCUGAAGUUCUAAGUGUUCUGGUGUGUUUUCUGUUGCUGUGAAAGACACGAUGACCAAAAGCAACUUUGGAGAUUAAAGAAUUUAUUUUAGCGUACACCUCCAGGUCACAGUCCACCUCUGCGGGAAGUCAGGGCAAGAACUGAAGCAGAACCGUUGGGGAAAUGCUGCUUACUGACUGACUUGCUCCCUGGCUCACGCUCGGCUGGCUUUUGCAUGCAGCCCAGAACCACCUGCCCAGAGAUGGUGCGACUCGCCUUCCACAGUAAGACAAUCGCUCUUUCAAAGACAGGGCCACAGGGCAAUCUAAUCAAGAUGAUUCUUUCAUAGCAAUUCUCUCAUCCCAAGUGACAAGAAAAGCUUAACAGGGCACUAAGCUUAAAGGCUUUACUUUUAGAAAAUUUCUAAUCUCAUUACUAUUACUAACAUGGAUGUAAAAUACCACUGUGCUGGUUGGUUUGGAUUGUGAGCCCAGCCUUUAACAGUGGAGCCAUCUCUCCAGCCCACUGCUUGAUUUCAAAUCUCAACUUGCCACAACUGAGAAUCACCAAGAGAGAGUAUCAGCUGUGGAAUUGCCUAGAUCAGGCUGGCAUGUCUAUGGGAGUUUAUCUUGACUGUUAGUUGAUGUAGUGACAUCCAGCCCACUAUGAGUAGCACCAUUCCCUAGGUUUGGCUCUAAUGCAGU